RNAcentral lists this ribosomal RNA (196 nucleotides) under Nebria castanea. RNAcentral's name for it is "Oreonebria castanea partial 28S ribosomal RNA". It matches the Rfam family "Eukaryotic large subunit ribosomal RNA", at positions 663 to 817 of the family's 3401-position model. Lineage: Eukaryota; Metazoa; Arthropoda; Insecta; Coleoptera; Carabidae. The record is from RNAcentral.
GGACCAAGGAGUCUAGCAUGUACGCGAGUCAUUGGGACUAUUUAAUUGAAACCUAAAGGCGUAAUGAAAGUAAAAGUUUAUAUUUUUACAUGAACUGAGGGAAGAUGGGCUACCCUAUUGGUGUAGCCCCGCACUCCCGGGCCGUCCCGUACUCAUUGCGAGUUGGGGCGGACCAAGAGCGUACACGCUGGGACCC